UACGUAGGUGGCGAGCGUUGUCCGGAUUUACUGGGCGUAAAGGGAGCGUAGGCGGACUUUUAAGUGAGAUGUGAAAUACUCGGGCUCAACUUGAGUGCUGCAUUUCAAACUGGAAGUCUAGAGUGCAGGAGAGGAGAAUGGAAUUCCUAGUGUAGCGGUGAAAUGCGUAGAGAUUAGGAAGAACACCAGUGGCGAAGGCGGUUCUCUAGACUGUAACUGACGCUGAGGCUCGAAAGCGUGGGGAGCAAACAGG
This 253-nucleotide ribosomal RNA is filed under the name uncultured bacterium. RNAcentral's name for it is "partial 16S ribosomal RNA". It matches the Rfam family "Bacterial small subunit ribosomal RNA", at positions 524 to 776 of the family's 1533-position model. The record is from RNAcentral.